This 497-nucleotide ribosomal RNA is filed under the name uncultured bacterium. RNAcentral describes it as "partial 16S ribosomal RNA". It matches the Rfam family "Bacterial small subunit ribosomal RNA", at positions 28 to 507 of the family's 1533-position model. The record is from RNAcentral.
GAUGAACGCUGGCGGCGUGCCUAAUACAUGCAAGUCGAGCGAACAGACGAGGAGCUUGCUCCUCUGAUGUUAGCGGCGGACGGGUGAGUAACACGUGGAUAACCUACCUAUAAGACUGGGAUAACUUCGGGAAACCGGAGCUAAUACCGGAUAACAUGUUGAACCGCAUGGUUCAACAGUGAAAGACGGUCUUGCUGUCACUUAUAGAUGGAUCCGCGCCGCAUUAGCUAGUUGGUAAGGUAACGGCUUACCAAGGCAACGAUGCGUAGCCGACCUGAGAGGGUGAUCGGCCACACUGGAACUGAGACACGGUCCAGACUCCUACGGGAGGCAGCAGUAGGGAAUCUUCCGCAAUGGGCGAAAGCCUGACGGAGCAACGCCGCGUGAGUGAAGAAGGUCUUCGGAUCGUAAAACUCUGUUAUUAGGGAAGAACAAAUGUGUAAGUAACUAUACACGUCUUGACGGUACCUAAUCAGAAAGCCACGGCUAACUACGUG